GACGAACGCUGGCGGCGUGCUUAACACAUGCAAGUCGAACGGAAAGGCCCUGCUUUUGUGGGGGGCUCGAGUGGCGAACGGGUGAGUAACACGUGAGUAACCUGCCCUGGACUUUGGGAUAACUUCAGGAAACUGGGGCUAAUACCGGAUAGGAGCUCCUGCUGCAUGGGGGGGGUGGGAAAGUUUCGGCGGUUGGGGAUGGACUCGCGGCUUAUCAGCUUGUUGGUGGGGUAGUGGCUUACCAAGGCUUUGACGGGUAGCCGGCCUGAGAGGGUGACCGGCCACAUUGGGACUGAGAUACGGCCCAGACUCCUACGGGAGGCAGCAGUGGGGAAUAUUGCACAAUGGGCGGAAGCCUGAUGCAGCAACGCCGCGUGCGGGAUGACGGCCUUCGGGUUGUAAACCGCUUUCGCCUGUGACGAAGCGUGAGUGACGGUAAUGGGUAAAGAAGCACCGGCUAACUACGUG
Molecule: ribosomal RNA, 468 nt
Filed under: uncultured bacterium
Lineage: Bacteria
Description: partial 16S ribosomal RNA
Rfam family: Bacterial small subunit ribosomal RNA
Source: RNAcentral